AUGUUUGUUUCUCUCUGUGAGUUUGUGACUAUUGUGUGUUUGUCAGGCUUCACUCGUCCUAAAGUGAGCGUCCUGCCGCCCUCCAGUGAAGAGAUUUCCACAAAGAAAACAGCAACACUGAUGUGUGUGCUCAACAAGGGUUUCCCCUCAGACUGGAGUGUGAUGUGGAAGGUGGACGGGAGCAGCAGAUCUCAGGACAGCAGUGUUGGGCUCCUGGAGAAGGACGGUCUGUACAGCUGGAGCAGCAGUCUGACUCUCUCUGAGCAGGAGUGGAGCUCAGUGCUCUCAGUGAGCUGUGAGGCCAAACACAAAGAUCCCAGUCAUACAGUCACUGGAGAAUUCAGGAGAGAUGAUGAGUGUUCACACUAG
Molecule: non-coding RNA, 369 nt
Organism: Triplophysa dalaica
Lineage: Eukaryota; Metazoa; Chordata; Actinopteri; Cypriniformes; Nemacheilidae
Source: the annotation of a RefSeq genome assembly